Molecule: long non-coding RNA, 1415 nt
Filed under: Chrysolophus pictus (golden pheasant)
Lineage: Eukaryota; Metazoa; Chordata; Aves; Galliformes; Phasianidae
Description: lncRNA (ENSCPIG00010004613.1)
Source: RNAcentral
NNNNNNNNNNNNNNNNNNNNNNNNNNNNNNNNNNAUCCCCGGUUCCGUCUGUCCGUCUGUCCAUCCGCCCACCCGUGUGCCCAUCUCUGCAUCCAUCCCCGCGUCCGUCUUUCUGUCUGUCCAUCUCUACGUCCAUCCACGUGUCCAUCUGUCCAUCUGCAUCCAUUCCUGUGUCCGUCUGUCCAUCUCUACAUCCAUCCCCAUGUGCAUCUGCCCAUCUGUCCAUCUGCAUCCAUCCCCGUGUCUGUCUGUCCGUCUCUACAUCCAUCCACGUGUCCAUCUGUCCACCUGCAUCCAUUCCUGUGUCCAUCUGUCCGUCUCUACAUCCAUCCACGUGUCCAUCUGUCCAUCUACAUCCAUCCCCGUGUGCAUCUGUCCGUCUGUCCAUCUGCAUCCAUCCCCGCGUCCGUCUGUCCGUCUGUCCAUCCCUCCCUCCCCACAUCCGCACACCCCCAUGUCCCCACAACGUCCCCACAGUGCCCCCCUGUCCUCAUGUUCCCAAAUGUCCCCGUGUCCCCAUUCGUCCCCACACGUCCCCAUCAGUCCCCAUACAUCCCCACAAUGCCCCAUGUGUCCCCACACGUCCCCACGUGUCCCCAUACGUCCCCAUAUGUCCCUAUCUGUCCCCACACGUCCCUAUAUGUCUCCAUAUGUCCCCAUUGCCACCCACAUGUCCUCAUAUGUCCCCACACGUCCCCAUAUGUCCCCACAUGUCCCCAUAUGCUCUCAUGUCCCCAUCUAUCUCCACAUGUCCCCAUAUGUCCCCACAUGUCAUCACAUGUCCCCCUAUGUCUCCAGAUGUCCCCAUUGCCCCCCACAUGUCCCCACGUGUCCCCAUAUGUCCUCAUAUGUCCCCACAUGUCCCCACACGUCCCCAUAUGUCUCCAUAUGUCCCCAUUGCCACCCACAUGUCCUCAUAUGUCCCCACACGUCCCCAUAUGUCCCCACAUGUCCCCAUAUGUCCCCAUACGUCCCCAUAUGUCCCCACAUGUCUCCAUAUGUCCCCACACGUCCCUAUAUGUCCCCACAUGUCCCCAUAUGCUCUCAUGUCCCCAUCUAUCUCCACAUGUUCCCACGUGUCCCCACACAUCCCCAUAUGUCCCCAUUGCCCCCCACAUGUCCCUAUAUGUCCCCACACGUUCCCAUAUGUCCCCACAUGUCAUCACACGUCCCCAUAUGUCUCCAGAUGUCCCCAUUGCCCCCCACAUGUCCCCACAUGUCCCCAUACGUCCUCAUAUGUUCUCAUACAUCCCCAUAUGUCUCCAGGUGUCCCCAUAUGUCCCCAUACGUCCCCAUAUGUCUCCAGAUGUCCCCAUUGCCCCCCAUAUGUCCCCACAUGUCCCCAUAUGUCCUCAUAUGUCCCCACACAUCCCCACAUGUCCCCAUAUGUCCCCAUAUGUCUCCAGAUGUCCCCA